RNAcentral lists this ribosomal RNA (301 nucleotides) under uncultured bacterium. RNAcentral describes it as "partial 16S ribosomal RNA". It matches the Rfam family "Bacterial small subunit ribosomal RNA", at positions 509 to 807 of the family's 1533-position model. The record is from RNAcentral.
CAGCAGCCACGGUAAUACAGAGGGUGCGAGCGUUAAUCGGAUUUACUGGGCGUAAAGCGUGCGUAGGCGGCUUCUUAAGUCGGAUGUGAAAUCCCUGAGCUUAACUUAGGAAUUGCAUUCGAUACUGGGAAGCUAGAGUAUGGGAGAGGAUGGUAGAAUUCCAGGUGUAGAGGUGAAAUGCGUAGAGAUCUGGAGGAAUACCGAUGGCGAAGGCAGCCAUCUGGCCUAAUACUGACGCUGAGGUACGAAAGCAUGGGGAGCAAACAGGAUUAGAUACCCCUGUAGUCCCUGUCUCUUAUAC